RNAcentral lists this ribosomal RNA (370 nucleotides) under uncultured organism. Its description in RNAcentral is "partial 16S ribosomal RNA". It matches the Rfam family "Bacterial small subunit ribosomal RNA", at positions 527 to 896 of the family's 1533-position model. The record is from RNAcentral.
GUAGGGUCCAAGCGUUAAUCGGAAUUACUGGGCGUAAAGCGUGCGCAGGCGGUUGUGCAAGACCGAUGUGAAAUCCCCGGGGCUUAACCUGGGAAUUGCAUUGGUGACUGCACGGCUAGAGUGUGUCAGAGGGGGGUAGAAUUCCACGUGUAGCAGUGAAAUGCGUAGAGAUGUGGAGGAAUACCGAUGGCGAAGGCAGCCCCCUGGGAUAACACUGACGCUCAUGCACGAAAGCGUGGGGAGCAAACAGGAUUAGAUACCCUGGUAGUCCACGCCCUAAACGAUGUCAACUAGUUGUUGGGGAUUCAUUUCCUUAGUAACGUAGCUAACGCGUGAAGUUGACCGCCUGGGGAGUACGGUCGCAAGAUUA